This is a long non-coding RNA of Culex quinquefasciatus (southern house mosquito), 1703 nucleotides long. RefSeq lists it as uncharacterized. The transcript is spliced from 4 exons. The record is from RefSeq and is a predicted model, not a curated record. Lineage: Eukaryota; Metazoa; Arthropoda; Insecta; Diptera; Culicidae.
UCGUAAAAAUAAACAAAGUAAUUUGAGAGUUUUUUUGCUAACGUUCGGAAAAGUUUAUUCCUAAACGAAUGUCGGUUUCAGCCCAUUUGGUGGGAAAUCGCUGCAUGUUUUUGCAGCUCCGCUGGUGGUUCCUACGGGGCAGAUGGAGUCGUCCAGUGUGGUGGCACCGACGGGGAACGAGUUGCUACAAUCCGGGAGGAGCUUGCAGGCUACGUACGACACGGACGGGAAGAUUGUGUUUGUCUCUUCGAAAGCCGAUCGGAUGGAAGAUGAAAGAAAAAAAAAAAUGUGGAAGAACGACAAGCCAGAAGACGCCGUGGACAAAUACGAGGAUGAGGAACCUGUGUCGAGGCCGAACGGAACCGAGCGGGCUGAGGUCGAAAAGAUAAUGGUCAAGAAGCCCCAGCGAGGAGAAGUACGUGCUGCACAUCAAGACAUCCGGUAGUUCCCCAAAUCGGACCAUCGGAAGUUUACAACAAGCGGACUUGCUUGUGAACCUACUCGGGCCACCGGCAGGCCGUGCGGAACGUGAGUUUUAACAAGUGCGGCGAUAAGCUCGUGUCGGCCGGGUACGAUUGCUGCCUCAAGCUGUUGGACACCGAAACGGACGACGUCGUGUCACGCUUUAGUUCGUGAAAGAUUUCCCCCUGUGUGCGGUGGAAGCGUUGGACUAAACCAUUUGGUUGGACCCAACCUUACCCGCAGAAUCUGCAUCGUCCAGGAGUACGACCGUCGUCCGGGCGCGGUCAACAAGACAACCUUCGUCGGCGAAAACCGGAGCAUCGUGAUGCUCCGGCUAUUUUCUGGCUUGCACGUCUGGGAGUGGGACAUUUCGGUAGACAUAAAGUACAUCGCCGAUCCAACGAUGCUCACGAUACCCGUAGUUACACCUCCCCAAACGGCAAGUGGUUUGUCUACAAAAGCUACAUGUUCUCCGGUUAUGCCUGUUCCCCCGACAUGAGCAACCUCGUGUCCAGCGAUGGCGACGGCAAAGUCUACAUCUGUUUAACUGCUUCUGCGAGCAGCUGACACUGGCAGCAUACGUCGUACGCAGAUUCUCGAGUUCCUACUCCAGCUGGCAGAGGCAGGCAACUUUCACAGCUAUCUGACGCUGGACGUGGUGUACAAGAUCGAGUUGGAGGUGCACAAGAAACCCAUCGCCUCGUCGGUGUUCCGGUCAACCUGGCUUAGGGGGCUCAGGGAGCUGAGAUACCGGUUCUGGGUUUCGGUUGACAGCGUUUGAAGAGCUGAACGACGACAGUUUCACGCUGGAGGAACAUCUUUAGACAAGGGGAGCAACAAAUAUUACCUGCAGAUAUUACGAAGGAUUAGUUGACGGCGAAGCAGUUCUGUGAAAGCCGUCGAGUAGCGGAACGACAACGGGUUGCUGCAACGGCAUAGCUGGAGGUGAAAACACACACAAUGUGUUGACAUCUGAUUGGCACUUAAUUCAGGACGUUAAUAAGUGCAUCGACAAAGAGAUUCGGGUGUUUUAUUAAAAAAUAUUUAUUUAGCUUGCUUUUUGUUUUAUUUAUUUUUAAAUUUAAUCGUUACUCGCAUUCCGGAAUUGAACGGAAAAUUGAUGUAGUAGUUGAAAGAUUUAUAAAUAGCAGUUUUUUUACCCACCGCUACACUUAAGUUCGUUCGCAACUUCCGGCAAAACGCGUUCCUCGUUGUUUUGCUUCUUCGUAAGUUCCGGUAGU